This is a long non-coding RNA of Lemur catta (Ring-tailed lemur), 1025 nucleotides long. RefSeq lists it as uncharacterized. The record is from RefSeq and is a predicted model, not a curated record. The transcript has 3 exons. NCBI's taxonomy places the organism in Eukaryota, Metazoa, Chordata, Mammalia, Primates, Lemuridae.
CGAAAAUGGAGAGUUUAGUGUCUAUGGAGACUUAAAAACCAGUCAAUUUGAAACGGAUAUCCAGAUUAAUAAGCUAAAACACAAGUCACCAGGUUUAUAAAAUAACGGUUUAGCACUGGAUGUCAGCAAAAUGGCAGAGUUUUGCAAGCUCUUGUCCUCUCACAGAAACAUCAAAAAACAAGUAGAAAACAUCAGAACCAAUUUUAUGAACUCUGGAAAACAAUGAAAAGUUACAGCAACCAAAUUCCUGUGUUGAAACGUAACCCCCAGUGUGACAGUAUUAAGAGCUGGCAAACAUCAUAACCAACCAGAAUUAACCACCUUCAGAUAGAUGCCUGGGGCAAAAGAUUACAACCCAAAUGUACAAAAGACUAUCUAAGGCAAAAGAUGGGGAGCGCUUCUCUGGCAAUUUAAGACAUUGAAAAGCAACCAUGUAUGCUGGGGAAUUUGGAAAGUCACAGGAAACAGUAACUAACACUAAUCCUUCUCAAACUCUUCCAAAAAAUUGAAGAGGAGGGAACACUUCCUAACUAAUUUUAUGAGACCAUCGUUACACCAAUACCAAUAUCAAAGACACCACAAGAAAACUAUAAACUAAUAUCUCUUAUGAAUAUAGAUGCAAACGUCCUCAACAAAUACCAGCAAACCCAAUCCAAUAGCAUAUUAAAAGGAUUGUAUACCAUAGCCAAGUGGCAUUUAUCCCCGAAACACAACAGGGAAAAUCCUGUGUUUCAACAGGGGAAAAUCAAUCAAUACCACACUAACAGAACAAAGGACAACAAAUAACCACAUGACCAUUUCAAUAGAUGCUGAAAAGACACUUGACAAAAUCCAAUGCUCUUUCAUGAUAAAAAACACUCAAAAACUAGAGAUACAAGGGAAAUUCCUCAAAAUGAUAAGGGCAUUUAUGAAAAUCAUGGAAUCAUCAUCAUACUCGAGUGAAAGACAGAAAGCUUUUCCCUUAAGAUCAGAAACAAGACAAAGAUGCCUACUUUAACCAGUGAUAUUCAACAUUAUACUGAAAG